This 1642-nucleotide long non-coding RNA is filed under the name Sus scrofa (pig). RNAcentral describes it as "lncRNA (ENSSSCG00035063053.1)". The record is from RNAcentral. Lineage: Eukaryota; Metazoa; Chordata; Mammalia; Artiodactyla; Suidae.
GUAGUGCAGCUGGUGAAGGACAGACUCAACCACCCCCACCACCCUGUGCAGCCCCUUGGGGGAAGGACAGGAACUAGGUGGGGGGCUCGAGUUUCACAGAUAAAGCUCAGGAAGCUUGAGAGUCCCUCCCAUCAGCUCUGAGAAGUCACAUCUGCCUGGAGCCCCCACUGGAGCCCACAGGACCCAGAGGGGUACAGCGGACCCUGAGCGUCCUGGCAAUUCCAGUCCAUUGAACACCCUACCAGAUGCCUCACGGCCCUGUGGCUGGGGUUGCCAGAUUUUUCAGGACAUCCAUGCAGUAUUUGGGACAUUCUUUUUUUUUUUCUUCUUUUCUUUUUCUUUUUAGGGCUGCCCUCUUGGCAUACGGAAGUUCCCAGGCUAGGGGUUGAAACAGAGCUGCAGCUGCCAGCCUACACCACAGCCACAGCAACACCUGAUCUGAGCCGAACUGCGACCUACACCACAGCUCACAGCAAUGCCAGAUCCUUAACCCACUGAGUGAAGCCAGGGAUGGAACCUGAAUCCUCAUUGGGUUGGUUUGGGUUGGGUUCUUUUUUUUUUUUUUCCUAGGGCUGCACUCGUGGCAUAUGGAGGUUCCCAGGCUAGGGGUCUAAUCCGAGCUGUAGCCGCCGGCCUACACCACAGCUCACAGUGACACAAGAUCCUUAACCCACUAAGCGAGGCCAGGGAUUGAACCCGCAACCUCAUGGUUCCUAGUCAGAUUCGUUAACCAUUGAGCCAUGACGGGAACUCCUUGGGUUGGCUUCUUAGCUCAAUGAGCCACCACGGGAACUCCCAGGGGACAUUCUUGCACUAGAAAGUAGUUCAUUGUUUAUCUGUGAUGCAAACUUACCCGGGUGUCCUGUGUUUUACCUACAACACUACCCACUACCCACUACCCGAAGCAGCAAGGAGGAGAAGAGGGGGACCUCUGGCAGUUUCCCAUUAGCCUGGAAUCUCCUUUUGGUCUUUCAUCUUUUCCCUCCCCAAACCAGUCAGACCCUCUAGAUCUGGGAGACCCCCUUUCCCUCCAGAGAACCAGGAGGAAGCUGAGGGGCAGAGCUGCCGGCACCUGGGACAAGGUCUUGGAGCAUCUGCCUUCUUCUCCUCGGAAGGUGGCCCUUCCUUCAAGAAGAUGGUGCUGGAUGUCUUCCACGUGCCUCCUGGGCCUCUGUCCACUUUCCCCACCCUGCCUGGGCCCCGGGAAGUUGACCUGCAGACCGCAUGGUGGCCCUCCUUGCCUUUGACUUCUGGAUGGGCCCAAACAAUGGGAAGUUCUGGCCGGAGACUGGAGCAGGGAGGAGAGUGAGGGCUGGGGCAUUGAUUUCUCUCCCUCCCUCUCUAACAGGUUGGUGACAAGAGCCACACCCGGUAGCCCCUCCUCCCUCCCUGUCUCAGGACCUGUUCUCCUUCCCCAUCCCUGGGGCACACCACCAUCCUGGUGGGCUUUUCUGUGUCCCACUCAACUUAAAAAAAAUUAGACUUCCUUCAACUGCCAUCUGCUUCCUGCGGGAUUCCAACUGCUGUGCAAUUUCAGGGGAAAACUCCCUGUUUUGGAUGAAACUGGAGAAAAUAAGCAGAAUGAGGAGUGAGAAUAUCCCUCCCUGCCCCCAACUCGAGUGCCUGAGCUUGCUCCUAUACA